RNAcentral lists this long non-coding RNA (355 nucleotides) under Phoenix dactylifera (date palm). Its description in RNAcentral is "long non-coding RNA (PDAC_LNC003743)". The record is from RNAcentral. Lineage: Eukaryota; Viridiplantae; Streptophyta; Magnoliopsida; Arecales; Arecaceae.
AGCUAUGGGCGUCACCAGGAAUUGGGCGUCAAUUCAUGAGUGGUCUAGGGCAGGCCAAGGGAGCAAAUUCUGAUGGGGGCACGAGGCCAAAGAGCUAGGUAGAUCCGAUAUUGAUGAAUUAAUGCUUUCUGACAAAGGUGAUCUGUUUAUGUUUUCAUGUCCUUACGGUGCAUGACCCUGUGUCCCUGACCCCCAUUUUGGAUGAGAUUCAAGGUAUUUUCGGCUGUCGUAAAUCUAGGCAUUCUGCUUCUUGUACUUAUAAACUGAUUUGUAUUAGGUUGGGCUCUCCUCAAAUGCAUAGAUGAUGCCAUACGAGAUUGGACCGGGUUUUGCCACUCGUUCGGCCAUACUUUCG